GGAGAAGAGGCAGUAGAGGAGAAGAGGCAGUAGUGGAGAAGAGGCAGUAGUGGAGAAGAGGAGAAGAUGCAGUAGUGAAGAAGAGGAGAAGAGGCAGUAGAGGAGAAGAGGAGGAGGCAGUAGUGGAGAAGAGGAGAAGAGGCAGUAGUGGAGAAGAGGAGAAGAGACAGUAGUGGAGAAGAGGAGAAGAUGCAGUAGUGAAGAAGAGGAGAAGAGGCAGUAGAGGAGAAGAGGAGAAGAGGCAGUAGAGGAGAAGAGGCAGUAGUGGAGAAGAAGAAAAGAGUCAGAAGUGGAGAAGAGGAGAAGAGGCAGUAGAGGAGAAGAGGCAGUAGAGGAGAAGAGGAGGAGGCAGUAGUGGAGAAGAGGAGAAGAGGCAGUAGAGGAGAAGAGGAGAAGAGGCAGUAGUGGAGAAGAGGAGAAGAGGCAGUAGUGGAGAAGAGGAGAAGAUGCAGUAGUGAAGAAGAGGAGAAGAGGCAGUAGAGGAGAAGAGGAGAAGAGGCAGUAGAGGAGAAGAGGCAGUAGAGGAGAAGAGGAGAAGAGGCAGUAGUGGAGAAGAGGAGAAGAGGCAGUAGUGGAGAAGAAGAGAAGAGUCAGUAGUGGAGAAGAGGAGAAGAGGCAGUAGAGGAGAAGAGGCAGUAGUGGAGAAGAGGCAGUAGUGGAGAAGAGGAGAAGAUGCAGUAGUGAAGAAGAGGAGAAGAGGCAGUAGAGGAGAAGAGGAGGAGGCAGUAGUGGAGAAGAGGAGAAGAUGCAGUAGUGAAGAAGAGGAGAAGAGGCAGUAGAGGAGAAGAGGAGAAGGCAGUAGUGGAGAAGAGGAGAAGAGGCAGUAGAGGAGAAGAGGAGAAGAGGCAGUAGAGGAGAAGAGGAGAAGAGGCAGUAGUGGAGAAGAGGCAGUAGAGGAGAAGAGGAGAAGAGGCAGUAGUGGAGAAGGGGAGAAGAGGCAGUAGUGGAGGAGAAGAUGCAGUAGAGGAGAAGAGGAGAAGAGGCAGUAGUGGAGAAGAGGAGAAGAGGCAGUAGUGGAGAAGAGGCAGUAGAGGAGAAAAGGAGAAGAUGCAGUAGAGGAGAAGAGGAGAAGAGGCAGUAGAGGAGAAGAGGAGAAGAGGCAGUAGUGGAGAAGAGGAGAAGAGGCAGUAGUGGAGAAGAGGAGAAGAGGCAGUAGUGGAGAAGAGGAGAAGAGGCAGUAGAGGAGAAGAGGCAUUACUUUCACUAAAGACAAUUAUUUGCGUUUCCAAGACUACAUUACAGUUGAAUAUGUGCUACAUAACCCACAACAUAUUGUAAUGUAUUAACACAUGAAUCUGAUAAUCUGUGUUGCAUCUGAAUUAUGUUCAGGGCAGAGGAAAACAUACUGAAGCACUCAGCCAGAUCUCAACAAAAUCAGGCCACAAAGUGACUUUUGUGCUUCUAAACUUGUCUUUUCAAUGUGAUUUUCAUAUUCUGAUAGCAGAAGUCGCAUGUAAGUGUCAAGUGUAGACAUGACCUAAGUAGCCCAGAGAGCUUUUGUCAUGUAGGACAGUGUUCUCCAACUGGCGGCUGAAUUUGGGCCGUGUACUGUUUUAUUUUAAAAUCUCUGAAUAUUAUGUUGUUGAACAGAAAUGUAUAAACUGUAAGAUCACCAGGCAAUCAGCUCCAAGUGAUUUUCAUUUAGGAAAUCUGUUCCCAAGUAUUCUCAUGCGUAAUAGAGAGACAUGUGUCUGUGUGUGUCUGUGUGUCUGUGUGUCUGUGUGUGUGUG
Long non-coding RNA from Oncorhynchus tshawytscha (Chinook salmon), 1730 nucleotides. NCBI's taxonomy places the organism in Eukaryota, Metazoa, Chordata, Actinopteri, Salmoniformes, Salmonidae. The record is from Ensembl.